RNAcentral lists this ribosomal RNA (478 nucleotides) under uncultured bacterium. RNAcentral describes it as "partial 16S ribosomal RNA". It matches the Rfam family "Bacterial small subunit ribosomal RNA", at positions 28 to 523 of the family's 1533-position model. The record is from RNAcentral.
GACGAACGCUGGCGGCGUGCUUAACACAUGCAAGUCGAACGGUAAGGCCCUUCGGGGUACACGAGUGGCGAACGGGUGAGUAACACGUGGGUGAUCUGCCCUGCACUUCGGGAUAAGACUGGGAAACUGGGUCUAAUACCGGAUAGGACCACUGCCUGCAUGGGUGGUGGUGGAAAGCUUUUGCGGUGUGGGAUGGGCCCGCGGCCUAUCAGCUUGUUGGUGGGGUGAUGGCCUACCAAGGCGACGACGGGUAGCCGGCCUGAGAGGGUGACCGGCCACACUGGGACUGAGAUACGGCCCAGACUCCUACGGGAGGCAGCAGUGGGGAAUAUUGCAUAAUGGGCGCAAGCCUGAUGCAGCGACGCCGCGUGAGGGAUGACGGCCUUCGGGUUGUAAACCUCUUUCAGCACCGACGAAGCGCAAGUGACGGUAGGUGCAGAAGAAGGACCGGCCAACUACGUGCCAGCAGCCGCCGCAG